CAAUAGCGUAUAUUUAAGUUGCUGCAGUUAAAAAGCUCGUAGUUGGAUUUCGGGUGGGAAUGGCCGGUCCGCCGUUUCGGUGUGCACUUGCUACGCCCACCUUGCUGCCGGGGACGUGCUCUUGAGUUCACGCUCGGGACACGGAGUCGGCGAGGUUACUUUGAGUAAAUUAGAGUGUUCAAAGCAGGCCUACGCUCUGAAUACAUUAGCAUGGAAUAACACGAUAGGACUCUGGCCUAUCUUGUUGGUCUGUAGGACCGGAGUAAAGAUUAAGAGGGACAGUCGGGGGCAUUCGUAUUUCAUUGUCAGAGGUGAAAUUCUUGGAUUUAUGAAAGACGAACUACUGCGAAAGCAUUUGCCAAGGAUGUUUUCAUUAA
RNAcentral lists this ribosomal RNA (377 nucleotides) under uncultured eukaryote. RNAcentral's name for it is "partial 18S ribosomal RNA". It matches the Rfam family "Eukaryotic small subunit ribosomal RNA", at positions 592 to 976 of the family's 1831-position model. The record is from RNAcentral.